GAUGAACGCUGGCGGCGUGCCUAACACAUGCAAGUCGAACGAAAACAUGAGGUGCUGGCUCGCCUGGCGUUAGCGGCGGACGGGUGAUUCACACGGGGAUGACCUACCUAUACGACUGGGGUGACUACGGGAGACAGGAUCUAAUACCCGAUAAUAUAUUGAACCGGGUGGUGCAAUAGUUAAAGUCGGUUUUGCGGUGACUAAUAGAUUGCUCCGCGGCGGAUUCGCUAGUUGGUAAGGUAACGGCUUACCAAGGCUAGGAUGCGUAGCCGACCUGAGAGGGAGAACGGCCAGACUGGAACUGAGACACGGCCCAGACUCCUACGGGAGGCCGCAGUAGGGAAUCUUACGCAAUGGGGGAAAGCCUGACAGAGCAACGCCGCGUGAGUGAUGAAGGACUUCGGCUCGUAAAACGCUGUUGUUAGGGAAGAACUAAUGUGUAAUUAACCAUGAAGGUAAUGACGGUACCGGAAGAAUAAGCCCCGGCUAACUACGUG
Molecule: ribosomal RNA, 497 nt
Filed under: uncultured bacterium
Lineage: Bacteria
Description: partial 16S ribosomal RNA
Rfam family: Bacterial small subunit ribosomal RNA
Source: RNAcentral